This 252-nucleotide ribosomal RNA is filed under the name uncultured bacterium. RNAcentral describes it as "partial 16S ribosomal RNA". It matches the Rfam family "Bacterial small subunit ribosomal RNA", at positions 524 to 776 of the family's 1533-position model. The record is from RNAcentral.
UACGGAGGAUGCGAGCGUUAUCCGGAUUUAUUGGGUUUAAAGGGUGCGUAGGCGGAACAUUAAGUCAGCGGUAAAAUCGAGGGGCUCAACCCCUUUAAGCCGUUGAAACUGUGUUUCUUGAGUACUGGAGAGGCAGACGGAAUUCCUAGUGUAGCGGUGAAAUGCGUAGAUAUUAGGAGGAACACCAGUGGCGAAGGCGGUCUGCUGGACAGCAACUGACGCUGAGGCGCGAAAGCGUGGGUAUCGAACAGG